AGCGAACGCUGGCGGCAGGCCUAACACAUGCAAGUCUAACGGGGUCCCUUCGGGAUCAGUGGCGGACGGGUGAGUAACACGUGGGAACGUGCCCAAACGGUACGGAACAACUCAGGGAAACUUGAGCUAAUACCGUAUGUGCCCUACGGGGAAAGGAUUUAUCGCCUUUGGAGCGGCCCGCGUCUGAUUAGCUAGUUGGUGAGGUAAAGGCUCACCAAGGCGACGAUCAGUAGCUGGUCUGAGAGGAUGAUCAGCCACAUUGGGACUGAGACACGGCCCAAACUCCUACGGGAGGCAG
Molecule: ribosomal RNA, 298 nt
Filed under: uncultured bacterium
Lineage: Bacteria
Description: partial 16S ribosomal RNA
Rfam family: Bacterial small subunit ribosomal RNA
Source: RNAcentral